AUACGAAGGUCCCAAGCGUUAUUCGGAAUCACUGGGCGUAAAGAGUACGUAGGCGGUUUGGUAAGUCAGGUGUGAAAUCCCGGAGCUCAACUCCGGAACUGCAUCCGAUACUGCCAGACUUGAGUAAUGGAGAGGCAGGUGGAAUUCUCGGUGUAGCAGUGAAAUGCGUGGAUAUCGAGAGGAAGACCAAUGGCGAAGGCAGCCUGCUGGACAUUUACUGACGCUGAGGUACGAAGGCUAGGGGAGCGAAAGGAAUUAGAAACCCCAGUAGUCC
RNAcentral lists this ribosomal RNA (274 nucleotides) under uncultured bacterium. Its description in RNAcentral is "partial 16S ribosomal RNA". It matches the Rfam family "Bacterial small subunit ribosomal RNA", at positions 523 to 796 of the family's 1533-position model. The record is from RNAcentral.